GAAAGAAGACGAAAAUGACAGCUUUCUGUGAGAGACAACGGGACAGAUGAGACACAUGUGUGUUUAUGUGCUGUAGAGUAACUGAUGAAGGAAUGCUGCCAUCAAAGGUUUUUUAUCUUUUGUGGUGCAGCAGGACCUGCAAGGAAAGGUGAAAAAGAGGGAAAACCUGAAACAAAAGAAUAAUGGGCCUACAAUCCCCUGAUCAACCUGGAGAAGAGAGCCUUGCUCAAGGACACACUGGUGUUCCUGUGGCUCAAGUGGUAGAGCAUUGUGUUAGCAGUGCAAAGUUGUGGGUUUGAAUACCAGGGAACACAUGUUAGGUAAAAACUGUUAGUCUGAAUGCACUGUAAGUCACUUUGGUUAAAUGUAUAAUUUAUUUAUAAAUUUGAACCACUUCAGUGGUUUAGCCCACUACAAAAGUAAUAAAUCAAUGCAUGUACUUGUAAAUUCUGUGUAAAUGUUUUUCAGGUAGUCGUGCUCAUGGGUUGCAGGCACACGAAAGUUUGGAGCAGACACAGCAGUCAGAUUGUCCUGCACGUGUUCCCCUGCUCUAGCUUCAAGGUUGUGUGGCUCAGAGAGCCGUCAUCAAGGUCUUCUUCAUCCUGUUGCUCAACGACAUCCCCAUUGAGAAGAGUGAGAUUGUGAAGUGCAGCAGCAGAACUGUAUCAGCUGUGUUCAGAUGGCAGGAGGAUGUUGGGUUCACCAUCUGUAAAUACUUGAUUGUUAGAACAAUAAGUUUGAAUGAAGCUUUGUAUCAUGUGUUGUUGACUUGUACAUGUAUGCAUUUAUUGUGAUGCUAACGUUUAUACAUUAUUUUAAUCAAUUAGACAUGUUUUUUGUUGUCAGUAAAUAACAUAUAAAUAUUUUAUCCAUUCAUGUAUUAAUUGCUUGACUGAAAAUGGAUGUAUUCACAU
Carassius carassius (crucian carp) is the source of this 914-nucleotide long non-coding RNA. RefSeq lists it as uncharacterized. The transcript is spliced from 4 exons. Lineage: Eukaryota; Metazoa; Chordata; Actinopteri; Cypriniformes; Cyprinidae. The record is from RefSeq and is a predicted model, not a curated record.